This 399-nucleotide ribosomal RNA is filed under the name uncultured bacterium. RNAcentral describes it as "bacterial SSU rRNA". It matches the Rfam family "Bacterial small subunit ribosomal RNA", at positions 29 to 411 of the family's 1533-position model. The record is from RNAcentral.
AACGAACGCUGGCGGCGUGCCUAACACAUGCAAGUCGUGCGAGAAAGUUCCUUCGGGAGCGAGUAAAGCGGCGCACGGGUGAGUAACACGUAGGUAACCUGCCCCCCAGUCUGGAACAACUAGAGGAAACUCUAGCUAAUGCCGGAUGAGACCACGAUCCCUUCGGGGGUUGCGGCCAAAGAUGGCCUCUACUUGUAAGCUAUCGCUGAGGGAUGGGCCUGCGGGCCAUUAGCUUGUUGGUGAGGUAACGGCUCACCAAGGCUGUGAUGGCUAGCUGGUCUGAGAGGAUGACCAGCCACACUGGGACUGAGACACGGCCCAGACUCCUACGGGAGGCAGCAGUGGGGAAUAUUGCGCAAUGGGCGAAAGCCUGACGCAGCGACGCCGCGUGGGUGAUGG